RNAcentral lists this ribosomal RNA (253 nucleotides) under uncultured bacterium. RNAcentral describes it as "partial 16S ribosomal RNA". It matches the Rfam family "Bacterial small subunit ribosomal RNA", at positions 524 to 776 of the family's 1533-position model. The record is from RNAcentral.
UACGUAGGGGGCUAGCGUUGUCCGGAAUCAUUGGGCGUAAAGCGCGUGUAGGCGGUCCGGUAAGUCCGCUGUGAAAGUCGGGGGCUCAACCCUCGAAUGCCGGUGGAUACUGUCGGGCUAGAGUGCGGAAGAGGCGAGUGGAAUUCCUGGUGUAGCGGUGAAAUGCGCAGAUAUCAGGAGGAACACCGGUGGCGAAGGCGGGUCUCUGGGCCGAAACUGACGCUGAGGAGCGAAAGCGUGGGGAGCAAACAGG